Molecule: ribosomal RNA, 634 nt
Filed under: uncultured bacterium
Lineage: Bacteria
Description: bacterial SSU rRNA
Rfam family: Bacterial small subunit ribosomal RNA
Source: RNAcentral
UGACCGCCUGGGGAGUACGGCCGCAAGGUAAAACUCAAAGGAAUUGACGGGGACCCGCACAAGCGGUGGAUUAUGUGGAUUAAUUCGAUGCAACGCGAAAAACCUUACCUACCCUUGACAUGCUAGGAAGUCCGCAGAGAUGUGGAUGUGCCCGAAAGGGAACCUAGACACAGGUGCUGCAUGGCUGUCGUCAGCUCGUGUCGUGAGAUGUUGGGUUAAGUCCCGCAACGAGCGCAACCCUUGCCAUUAGUUGCGACAUUUAGUUGAGCACUCUAAUGGGACCGCCGGUGACAAACCGGAGGAAGGUGGGGAUGACGUCAAGUCCUCAUGGCCCUUAUGGGUAGGGCUUCACACGUAAUACAAUGGUCGGUACAGAGGGCUGCCAACCCGCGAGGGGGAGCUAAUCCCAGAAAGCCGAUCGUAGUCCGGAUUGUAGUCUGCAACUCGACUGCAUGAAGCCGGAAUCGCUAGUAAUCGCGGAUCAGCAUGUCGCGGUGAAUACGUUCCCGGGUCUUGUACACACCGCCCGUCACACCAUGGGAGUGGGUUCCACCAGAAGUAGGUAGCCUAACCGCAAGGAGGGCGCUUACCACGGUGAGAUUCAUGACUGGGGUGAAGUCGUAACAAGGUAACC